GGCUUCGUGGUUCAGUUGGUAGAGCGCUUGCUGCGUUGAGGCAUAGUGUUUCUGCUGCUGGUUCGAAUCCAGCCGAAGCCC
Non-coding RNA from Paragonimus skrjabini miyazakii, 81 nucleotides. The record is from the annotation of a GenBank genome assembly. NCBI's taxonomy places the organism in Eukaryota, Metazoa, Platyhelminthes, Trematoda, Plagiorchiida, Troglotrematidae.